This is a long non-coding RNA of Drosophila elegans, 560 nucleotides long. RefSeq lists it as uncharacterized. The record is from RefSeq and is a predicted model, not a curated record. Lineage: Eukaryota; Metazoa; Arthropoda; Insecta; Diptera; Drosophilidae. The transcript has 3 exons.
AAGUAAACCAAAUAAAAUCUAACUUAUUCAAUUUUUAUAUAAAUACAAUUUGUAUUUCUUAGAAGACGACUUUGUCACGGAAACCCCACAAAACAGCGGGGAUCCCUUAGCAGGAAACCCACCGAAGGACCAGAUCGAAGAUCUAUGUUCGAGACUUGCAGGGAAAAUUGGUUGCCAAUACGAAGACUAGAGGCUAAUACGAACCAGUUAGCUGAGUGCACCCAGCAGAUUGCAAAGCUGACGGCACUGCUGCAGAUUUUCCUUAAGGGAAAGUCUAAGGAUGCAGAGGAGGAGCUGGUGGCGUUAGAAGUUAAAAUAUGCUCGUCUACUAAAACCGCCUAUAUUGAGACCAUCACCGCACUUUUUAGGCGAAAUAAUUUGCCUAAGUCUAUUAAAGGAGUUUUGGCAGAGUCUUUGCGACUUUAAUAUAGACGGCGUGAAUGGAAAAAAGACCCUUAAGGGCUUUCCAGGAUUUUUUUCCGUUAUAGUCGACAGCAUAUGUGCGUUGGGAGGCCAGUUGCCGAAAAAGUGCGCACGCCUUAUCUUGAGCAAAAAAAAUC